RNAcentral lists this ribosomal RNA (497 nucleotides) under uncultured bacterium. RNAcentral's name for it is "partial 16S ribosomal RNA". It matches the Rfam family "Bacterial small subunit ribosomal RNA", at positions 28 to 507 of the family's 1533-position model. The record is from RNAcentral.
GAUGAACGCUGGCGGCGUGCCUAAUACAUGCAAGUCGAGCGAACAGACGAGGAGCUUGCUCCUCUGACGUUAGCGGCGGACGGGUGAGUAACACGUGGAUAACCUACCUAUAAGACUGGGAUAACUUCGGGAAACCGGAGCUAAUACCGGAUAAUAUAUUGAACCGCAUGGUUCAAUAGUGAAAGACGGUUUUGCUGUCACUUAUAGAUGGCUCCGCGCCGCAUUAGCUAGUUGGUAAGGUAACGGCUUACCAAGGCAACGAUGCGUAGCCGACCUGAGAGGGUGGUCGGCCACACUGGAACUGAGACACGGUCCAGACCCCUACGGGAGGCAGCAGUAGGGAAUCUUCCGCAAUGGGCGAAAGCCUGACGGGGCAACGCCGCGUGAGUGAUGAAGUUCUUCGGAUCGUAAAACUCUGUUAUUAGGGAAGAACAAAUGUGUAAGUAACUAUGCACGUCUUGACGGUACCUAAUCAGAAAGCCACGGCUAACUACGUG